GGACUUGCUUCCUGGUGUUGGAGGAGAGAGGAGCUUGUUCAGCCCAGUCUGGAGUGGCAUGAUCUUCUUGGUUCAGCCCGAAGAUUCAGGCCCAUUCAUCUCUGAAGGACCUAAUCAGCAGUAUUGCCACACACAGACUCAUCACCUUGGGCCAUAAAUGGUAUUUGGGAAGAAAUGCCAUUAUUUAAAAUAGGCAACCCAGCUCCACCAUCCUUUUACCUGAGUGAUUAUGCUUCACGUCACUGAAAAGACAGUCCAGCCAACUCUCCUUUCUUCCUAAUCUUAGACCACAUGGACAUUUAUUUUUUUUAUUAAUUAAUUAAUUGAAUUAACUAAUUAAAAGUAUUUUUCCAUGGUUCAUGUUCUUUCCCUUCCCUUCUCUCUCUUCCCCUCCUUUAGCCAACAAAUAAUUCCACUGGGCU
This 422-nucleotide long non-coding RNA is filed under the name Monodelphis domestica (gray short-tailed opossum). RNAcentral describes it as "lncRNA (ENSMODG00000039539.1)". The record is from RNAcentral. Lineage: Eukaryota; Metazoa; Chordata; Mammalia; Didelphimorphia; Didelphidae.